Molecule: long non-coding RNA, 215 nt
Filed under: Musa acuminata (dwarf banana)
Lineage: Eukaryota; Viridiplantae; Streptophyta; Magnoliopsida; Zingiberales; Musaceae
Description: long non-coding RNA (MACU_LNC010628)
Source: RNAcentral
GUCUCUAAUGACCUAUGAAAUGACGUGCAAUGCACGUGAAGAACUUGAGAACCACCUUCCAAAGGACAGGAAGGAUUUCAGACUAUGAAUAAUCAAAGACCACUCAAGCAUGAUUUUGAUUAAAAAUAUCUUAUAAAACCAUGCUAUAUGUGUUUAAGAAGUAAUAAUGUGUAUCUUGAUGAUUUUUGUAUUCCUUGUGAUUAUAAAUGUUUCAU